This 497-nucleotide ribosomal RNA is filed under the name uncultured bacterium. RNAcentral describes it as "partial 16S ribosomal RNA". It matches the Rfam family "Bacterial small subunit ribosomal RNA", at positions 28 to 507 of the family's 1533-position model. The record is from RNAcentral.
GAUGAACGCUGGCGGCGUGCCUAAUACAUGCAAGUCGAGCGAACAGACGAGGAGCUUGCUCCUCUGACGUUAGCGGCGGACGGGUGAGUAACACGUGGAUAACCUACCUAUAAGACUGGGAUAACUUCGGGAAACCGGAGCUAAUACCGGAUAAUAUAUUGAACCGCAUGGUUCAAUAGUGAAAGACGGUUUUGCUGUCACUUAUAGAUGGAUCCGCGCCGCAUUAGCUAGUUGGUAAGGUAACGGCUUACCAAGGCAACGAUGCGUAGCCGACCUGAGAGCGUGAUCGGCCACACUGGAACUGAGACACGGUCCAGACUCCUACGGGAGGCAGCAGUAGGGAAUCUUCCGCAAUGGGCGAAAGCCUGACGGAGCAACGCCGCGUGAGUGAUGAAGGUCUUCGGAUCGUAAAACUCUGUUAUUAGGGAAGAACAAAUGUGUAAGUAACUAUGCACGUCUUGACGGUACCUAAUCAGAAAGCCACGGCUAACUACGUG